AACGAACGCUGGCGGCAGGCCUAAUACAUGCAAGUCGAACGCACCGCAAGGUGAGUGGCAGACGGGUGAGUAACGCGUGGGAACCUUCCUAGUAGUACGGAAUAACUCCGGGAAACCGGUGCUAAUACCGUAUAAGCCCUCCGGGGGAAAGAUUUAUCGCUACUAGAUGGGCCCGCGUCGGAUUAGCUUGUUGGUGAGGUAAUGGCUCACCAAGGCUUCGAUCCGUAGCUGGUCUGAGAGGAUGAUCAGCCACACUGGGACUGAGACACGGCCCAGACUCCUACGGGAGGCAGCAGUAGGGAAUAUUGGACAAUGGGCGAAAGCCUGAUCCAGCCAUGCCGCGUGAGUGAAGAAGGCCUUAGGGUUGUAAAGCUCUUUUGGCGGGGAAGAUAAUGACGGUACCCGCAGAAUAAGCUCCGG
Molecule: ribosomal RNA, 420 nt
Filed under: uncultured bacterium
Lineage: Bacteria
Description: bacterial SSU rRNA
Rfam family: Bacterial small subunit ribosomal RNA
Source: RNAcentral